RNAcentral lists this long non-coding RNA (384 nucleotides) under Musa acuminata (dwarf banana). RNAcentral describes it as "long non-coding RNA (MACU_LNC003817)". The record is from RNAcentral. Lineage: Eukaryota; Viridiplantae; Streptophyta; Magnoliopsida; Zingiberales; Musaceae.
AUUACCUGUGAAGUCAUAUGAACCAGUCUAUGAACAUGUUAAGGUAUCUCAUGCUUGCAAGGAAUAUAUGAACAGUAACCAAGGAUUCAAAUGAAGAAUUAGGCAGAAGCUUUGAAAUCUUAGCCUGAGACUUAAUGGUGUUCUUGCUGUGGUCCUCCAUCUACCAGCAACACAGGACAUGACGCUGAGAGUGAUCGCCAUGUACUCAUCUACGACUGUUGCAAGUCAAGUGCAGGCCGCUUUCAAAAGCGUCGUAAUGGGAAGAGACCGAAACACCAUUCAACAGAGUUGGAGGUGCAUCAAAUCAUCAAGAUAAGAACCACACUUCCUUACCGGUGGUUGAUUCUAAUCGAGGACUCCUCAUCUUGGACACGAUCACAACUA